This 440-nucleotide ribosomal RNA is filed under the name uncultured bacterium. RNAcentral's name for it is "partial 16S ribosomal RNA". It matches the Rfam family "Bacterial small subunit ribosomal RNA", at positions 338 to 795 of the family's 1533-position model. The record is from RNAcentral.
CCUACGGGAGGCAGCAGUGGGGAAUAUUGCACAAUGGGGGAAACCCUGAUGCAGCGACGCCGCGUGAGUGAAGAAGUAAUUCGUUAUGUAAAGCUCUAUCAGCAGGGAAGAAAAUGACGGUACCUGAGUAAGAAGCCCCGGCUAACUACGUGCCAGCAGCCGCGGUAAUACGUAGGGGGCAAGCGUUAUCCGGAUUUACUGGGUGUAAAGGGAGCGUAGACGGCAGUGCAAGUCUGGAGUGAAAGGCGGGGGCUCAACCCCCGGACUGCUCUGGAAACUGUACGGCUUGAGUGCAGGAGAGGUAAGUGGAAUGCCUAGUGUAGCGGUGAAAUGCGUAGAUAUUAGGAGGAACACCAGUGGCGAAGGCGGCUUACUGGACUGUAACUGACGUUGAGGCUCGAAAGCGUGGGGAGCAAACAGGAUUAGAUACCCCUGUAGUC